GGGCAGAUACCCAAGCGGUCAACGGGGACAGACUGUAAAUCUGUUGCGGAAUCGCUUCGGGGGUUCGAAUCCUCCUCUGCCCA
RNAcentral lists this transfer RNA (83 nucleotides) under Candidatus Omnitrophota bacterium. RNAcentral describes it as "tRNA-Tyr". It matches the Rfam family "tRNA". From Rfam's summary of the family: Transfer RNA (tRNA) molecules are approximately 80 nucleotides in length. Lineage: Bacteria; Pseudomonadati; Candidatus Omnitrophota. The record is from RNAcentral.